UGGGGAAUAUUGCACAAUGGGCGCAAGCCUGAUGCAGCGACGCCGCGUGGGGGAUGACGGCCUUCGGGUUGUAAACUCCUUUCGCUAGGGACGAAGCUUUUUGUGACGGUACCUAGAUAAGAAGCACCGGCUAACUACGUGCCAGCCGCCGCGGUAAUACGUAGGGUGCGAGCGUUGUCCGGAAUUACUGGGCGUAAAGGGCUCGUAGGUGGUUUGUCGCGUCGUCUGUGAAAUUCCGGGGCUUAACUCCGGGCGUGCAGGCGAUACGGGCAUAACUUGAGUACUGUAGGGGUAACUGGAAUUCCUGGUGUAGCGGUGAAAUGCGCAGAUAUCAGGAGGAACACCGAUGGCGAAGGCAGGUUACUGGGCAAUUACUGACGCUGAGGAGCGAAAGCAUGGGUAGCGAACAGG
RNAcentral lists this ribosomal RNA (411 nucleotides) under Actinomycetes bacterium. RNAcentral describes it as "Actinobacteria bacterium partial 16S ribosomal RNA". It matches the Rfam family "Bacterial small subunit ribosomal RNA", at positions 355 to 776 of the family's 1533-position model. Lineage: Bacteria; Bacillati; Actinomycetota; Actinomycetes. The record is from RNAcentral.